CCCGUGCAAGUACCCAGCAUUAAGAAUCGUUCUCUUGCAGAAAAUGCACAACAGGGUUUGUUUUCCACUAUGUGGUACUUCUGUUAAAGCACAUCAUUAAGCUGAAGCACUUGGACUCCAUCUUCAAAGCUGGAUUGAUGGAAAACCUGUAAUGUCAACACCUGGGUGAGGAACAGCCAGCCAAAACCCAUGUAGCAAAAGACAACUGAUAAAUGUGCAAGUCAUUAGGACCAUAUUCUGC
Vidua macroura (Pin-tailed whydah) is the source of this 241-nucleotide long non-coding RNA. RefSeq lists it as uncharacterized. NCBI's taxonomy places the organism in Eukaryota, Metazoa, Chordata, Aves, Passeriformes, Viduidae. The transcript has 3 exons. The record is from RefSeq and is a predicted model, not a curated record.